RNAcentral lists this transfer RNA (68 nucleotides) under Tetrastichus howardi. RNAcentral describes it as "tRNA-Lys". Lineage: Eukaryota; Metazoa; Arthropoda; Insecta; Hymenoptera; Eulophidae. The record is from RNAcentral.
CAAUUGAUAUCUUAAUUAAAGAUUUGAUUUUUUAAAUCAAUAAUAAUAAUAAAAUUUAUUUCAAUUGA